UGGGGAAUUUUGGACAAUGGGCGAAAGCCUGAUCCAGCAAUGCCGCGUGUGUGAAGAAGGCCUUCGGGUUGUAAAGCACUUUUGUCCGGAAAGAAAUCCUUGGCUCUAAUACAGUCGGGGGAUGACGGUACCGGAAGAAUAAGCACCGGCUAACUACGUGCCAGCAGCCGCGGUAAUACGUGGGGUGCAAGCGUUAAUCGGAAUUACUGGGCGUAAAGCGUGCGCAGGCGGUUUGCUAAGACCGAUGUGAAAUCCCCGGGCUCAACCUGGGAACUGCAUUGGUGACUGGCAGGCUAGAGUAUGGCAGAGGGGGGUAGAAUUCCACGUGUAGCAGUGAAAUGCGUAGAGAUGUGGAGGAAUACCGAUGGCGAAGGCAGCCCCCUGGGCCAAUACUGACGCUCAUGCACGAAAGCGUGGGGAGCAAACAGGAUUAGAUACCCUGGUAGUCCACGCCCUAAACGAUGUCAACUAGUUGUUGGGGAUUCAUUUCCUUAGUAACGUAGCUAACGCGUGAAGUUGACCGCCUGGGGAGUACGGUCGCAAGAUUAAAACUUAAAUGAAUUGACGGGGUCAUAGCUGUUUCCU
This 585-nucleotide ribosomal RNA is filed under the name uncultured bacterium. RNAcentral describes it as "partial 16S ribosomal RNA". It matches the Rfam family "Bacterial small subunit ribosomal RNA", at positions 355 to 1375 of the family's 1533-position model. The record is from RNAcentral.